RNAcentral lists this unclassified non-coding RNA (385 nucleotides) under uncultured Phycisphaerae bacterium. RNAcentral's name for it is "contains 16S-23S intergenic spacer region". Lineage: Bacteria; Pseudomonadati; Planctomycetota; Phycisphaerae. The record is from RNAcentral.
UCCGGCUUCACGCCGGCAGUCUCGCUAGAGUUCCCGGCUUUACCCGCUGGCAACUAGCGAUAAGGGUUUCGCUCGUUAAGGGACUUAACCCGACACUUCACAGCACGAGCUGACGACAGCCAUGCAGCACCUGUGCACGUUUCACCCGAAGGCAGAUUACUCAGCUUUCACCGAGACCAUCCGUGCAUGUCAAACCCAGGUAAGGUUCUUCGCGUUGCUUCGAAUUGAUCCACAUGCUCCACCGCUUGUGUGAGCCCCCGUCAAUUCCUUUGAGUUUUAGCCUUGCGGCCGUACUCCCCAGGCGGCGCACUUAUCGCUUUUGUUUCGGCUCGAGUACCGUCAGUGGUCCUCGAACCUAGUGCGCAUCGUUUACGGCGUAGACUAC